CAUACUGUGAAACUGCGAAUGGCUCAUUAAAUCAGUUAUCGUUUAUUUGAUAGUACCUUUACCUGGAUAACCGUGGUAAUUCUAGAGCUAAUACAUGCUAAAAACCUCGACUUCGGAAGGGGUGUAUUUAUUAGAUAAAAAACCAAUGCCCUUCGGGGCUCCUUGGUGAUUCAUAAUAACUUAACGAAUCGCAUGGCCUUGCGCCGGCGAUGGUUCAUUCAAAUUUCUGCCCUAUCAACUUUCGAUGGUAGGAUAGUGGCCUACCAUGGUCUUAACGGGUAACGGGGAAUUAGGGUUCUAUUCCGGAGAGGGAGCCUGAGAAACGGCUACCACAUCCAAGGAAGGCAGCAGGCGCGCAAAUUACCCAAUCCCAAUACGGGGAGGUAGUGACAAUAAAUACUGAUACGGGGCUCUUUCGGGUCUCGUAAUUGGAAUGAGUACAAUCUAAAUCCCUUAACGAGGAACAAUUGGAGGGCAAGUCUGGUGCCAGCAGCCGCGGUAAUUCCAGCUCCAAUAGCGUAUAUUAAAGUUGUUGCCGUUAAAAAGCUCGUAGUUGAACCUUGGACCUGGCUGAUCUGUCCUCCUAAUCGAGCGCACGGAUUCGGUCGGGUCUUUCCUUCUGGGGAGCCCUAUGCCCUUCACUGGGUGUAGUGGGGAACCAGGACUUUUACCUUGAAAAAAUUAGAGUGUUCAAAGCAGGCCUUUGCUCGAAUACAUUAGCAUGGAAUAAUAGAAUAGGACAUCGGUUCUAUUUUGUUGGUUUCUAGGACCGCUGUAAUGAUUAAUAGGGAUAGUCGGGGGCGUCAGUAUUCAAUUGUCAGAGGUGAAAUUCUUGGAUUUAUUGAAGACUAACUACUGCGAAAGCAUUCGCCAAGGAUGUUUUCAUUAAUCAGUGAACGAAAGUUAGGGGAUCGAAGACGAUCAGAUACCGUCGUAGUCUUAACCAUAAACUAUGCCGACUAGGGAUCGGACGGUGGUUUUUUUAUGCCCCGUUCGGCACCUUAC
This 1005-nucleotide ribosomal RNA is filed under the name Minimelanolocus thailandensis. Its description in RNAcentral is "SSU rRNA". It matches the Rfam family "Eukaryotic small subunit ribosomal RNA", at positions 75 to 1091 of the family's 1831-position model. Lineage: Eukaryota; Fungi; Ascomycota; Eurotiomycetes; Chaetothyriales; Herpotrichiellaceae. The record is from RNAcentral.